AUGCUUUCCACACGGGUCGAUAGAAUCCAACAAUCCCUAGCCGCCAGAAUUCGACCCACCGUAGCCGGCGAGAGUCCACCACCGACGAGGAGAGCCUUUCCAGUUGGAACGACCACCCACAUCAGGGCAGAGGGGAACCGCGUGCAUGACCAACAAGUGGACCGACGGGCGAGAUGCUGCGCCGCGGACAAGACGGGGAGAAGAGAGGAAGGGGGCGCGCAUGGGCGGCUGGCCGACAAGGAACCAACGCGUCUCUGCCACAUCUACAAACCGCAGGUCAGUUUUCCGGCGGCUCUCCAUUUUUUUUCUCGUCGUUUCUGGGGAAGAAGGGUAGGGGAGCAAACUGGAGACUAA
Molecule: ribosomal RNA, 354 nt
Filed under: Triticum aestivum (bread wheat)
Lineage: Eukaryota; Viridiplantae; Streptophyta; Magnoliopsida; Poales; Poaceae
Description: partial small subunit ribosomal RNA
Source: RNAcentral